This 449-nucleotide ribosomal RNA is filed under the name uncultured bacterium. RNAcentral's name for it is "partial 16S ribosomal RNA". It matches the Rfam family "Bacterial small subunit ribosomal RNA", at positions 29 to 523 of the family's 1533-position model. The record is from RNAcentral.
CACGAACGCUGGCGGCAUGCCUAACACAUGCAAGUCGAACGAUCCCUUCGGGGAUAGUGGCGCACGGGUGCGUAACGCGUGGGAAUCUGCCCUUGGCUUCGGAAUAACAGUUAGAAAUGACUGCUAAUACCGGAUGAUGUCUUCGGACCAAAGAUUUAUCGGCCAGGGAUGAGCCCGCGUAGGAUUAGGUAGUUGGUGAGGUAAAGGCUCACCAAGCCGACGAUCCUUAUCUGGUCUGGGAGGAUGAUCAGCCACACUGGGACUGGGACACGGCCCAGACUCCUACGGGAGGCAGCAGUGGGGAAUAUUGGACAAUGGGCGCAAGCCUGAUCCUGCAAUGCCGCGUGAGUGAUGAAGGCCUUCGGGUCGUAAAGCUCUUUUACCAGGGAUGAUAAUGACAGUACCUGGAGAAUAAGCUCCGGCUAACUCCGUGCCAGCAGCCGCCGCAG